Molecule: ribosomal RNA, 497 nt
Filed under: uncultured bacterium
Lineage: Bacteria
Description: partial 16S ribosomal RNA
Rfam family: Bacterial small subunit ribosomal RNA
Source: RNAcentral
GAUGAACGCUGGCGGCGUGCCUAAUACAUGCAAGUCGAGCGAACAGACGAGGAGCUUGCUCCUCUGACGUUAGCGGCGGACGGGUGAGUAACACGUGGAUAACCUACCUAUAAGACUGGGAUAACUUCGGGAAACCGGAGCUAAUACCGGAUAAUAUAUUGAACCGCAUGGUUCAAUAGUGAAAGACGGUUUUGCUGUCACUUAUAGAUGGAUCCGCGCCGCAUUAGCUAGUUGGUAAGGUAACGGCUUACCAAGGCAACGAUGCGUAGCCGACCUGAGAGGGUGAUCGGCCACACGGGAACUGAGACACGGUCCAGACUCCUACGGGAGGCAGCAGUAGGGAAUCUUCCGCAAUGGGCGAAAGCCUGACGGAGCAACGCCGCGUGAGUGAUGAAGGUCUUCGGAUCGUAAAACUCUGUUAUUAGGGAAGAACAAAUGUGUAAGUACCUAUGCACGUCUUGACGGUACCUAAUCAGAAAGCCACGGCUAACUACGUG